Molecule: ribosomal RNA, 439 nt
Filed under: Proasellus rectus
Lineage: Eukaryota; Metazoa; Arthropoda; Malacostraca; Isopoda; Asellidae
Description: partial 16S ribosomal RNA
Rfam family: Bacterial large subunit ribosomal RNA
Source: RNAcentral
CUCUUGAUGUAAUUUCAAGUAACCUCUGCCCUAUGAAUAGUUUAAAUGGCCGCAGUACUUUGACUGUGCAAAGGUAGCAUAAUCACUUGUCUCUUAAUUGGAGGCUGGAAUGAAAGAGGCGACGAAACUCAAACUAUUAAGUUCAAAUGUGAAAUUAACAUAAAGGUCAAAAGGCCUUCAUAUAUCAAAGGGACGAUAAGACCCUAUAAAACUUUACUAUAAAACUAAAUCUUCUUAGGCAGGAUUGAGAUCUAUAGUUUAACUGGGGCGGUUUAUAUAUAAACAAUUGAAAUAGAAAAUAUUACUAUAGAUUUAGAGAGCUCUAAAAGGAAAUGAAUAAGUUACUUUAGGGAUAACAGCAUAAUUCCCCCAGAGAGUCCUAAUUGGCGGGGGGGCUUAUGACCUCGAUGUUGAAUUGGGGUGUCUAGUAUAAGUAGAA